GUUUCCUGAGGUGAACCUGCGGAAGGAUCAU
This 31-nucleotide ribosomal RNA is filed under the name Plantago maritima (sea plantain). RNAcentral's name for it is "partial 18S ribosomal RNA". The record is from RNAcentral. Lineage: Eukaryota; Viridiplantae; Streptophyta; Magnoliopsida; Lamiales; Plantaginaceae.